Molecule: ribosomal RNA, 253 nt
Filed under: uncultured bacterium
Lineage: Bacteria
Description: partial 16S ribosomal RNA
Rfam family: Bacterial small subunit ribosomal RNA
Source: RNAcentral
UACGAAGGGGGCUAGCGUUGCUCGGAAUUACUGGGCGUAAAGCGCACGUAGGCGGCUCUUUAAGUCGGGGGUGAAAUCCUGGAGCUCAACUCCAGAACUGCCUUCGAUACUGUAGAGCUUGAGUUCGGGAGAGGUGAGUGGAACUGCGAGUGUAGAGGUGAAAUUCGUAGAUAUUCGCAAGAACACCAGUGGCGAAGGUGGCUCACUGGCCCGAUACUGACGCUGAGGUGCGAAAGCGUGGGGAGCAAACAGG